UACGUAGGUGGCAAGCGUUGUCCGGAUUUAUUGAGUUUAAAGGGUGCGUAGGCGGUCUGAUAAGUCAGUUGUGAAAUACGGCAGCUUAACUGUCGAGGUGCAAUUGAUACUGUUGGACUUGAGUACUGAUGAGGUAGGCGGAAUGGACGGUGUAGCGGUGAAAUGCUUAGAGAUCGUCCAGAACACCGAUAGCGAAGGCAGCUUACUAAGGAGUAACUGACGCUGAGGCACGAAAGUGUGGGGAUCAAACAGG
RNAcentral lists this ribosomal RNA (253 nucleotides) under uncultured bacterium. RNAcentral's name for it is "partial 16S ribosomal RNA". It matches the Rfam family "Bacterial small subunit ribosomal RNA", at positions 524 to 776 of the family's 1533-position model. The record is from RNAcentral.